Leopardus geoffroyi (Geoffroy's cat) is the source of this 248-nucleotide long non-coding RNA. RefSeq lists it as uncharacterized. The transcript is spliced from 3 exons. NCBI's taxonomy places the organism in Eukaryota, Metazoa, Chordata, Mammalia, Carnivora, Felidae. The record is from RefSeq and is a predicted model, not a curated record.
GGAAUACCUCGGAGAUGUGGGUUUGGUACCAGAACACUGCCAUGAAGUGAAUAUCUCAAAAAAUAGGUAGUGUCUGAGCAGUGGAGGCUGAAUGCAUGAGGUAUACUGCAGAGACAAUCAUAAGAUGUGGUGGAAUCCCUACAGCACUAAAAGUGUGAGAAACAAAGUAAGGGACAAUGUAGAGGACCCAGGACAUGAAUUGGGGGCAUCUUACCUGGUCUGCACAUUUGGAACCUUGGGAAUUUGAG